GACGAACGCUGGCGGCGUGCUUAACACAUGCAAGUCGAACGGUGAAGCGCCUUCCUUUUUGGUGGGUGUGGAUGAGUGGCGAACGGGUGAGUAACACGUGAGUAACCUGCCCCCUUCUUCUGGAUAACCGCAUGAAAGUGUGGCUAAUACGGGAUAUUCUGGGUCUGUCGCAUGAUGGGUCUGGGAAAGAUAUUGUUUCGGUGGGGGAUGGGCUCGCGGCCUAUCAGCUUGUUGGUGGGGUGAUGGCCUACCAAGGCGGUGACGGGUAGCCGGCCUGAGAGGGUGGGCGGUCAAACGGGGACUGAGACACGGCCCAGACUCCUAAGGGAGGCAGCAGUGGGGAAUAUUGCACAAUGGGCGCAAGCCUGAUGCAGCGACGCCGCGUGAGGGAUGGAGGCCUUCGGGUUGUGAACCUCUUUCGCCAGUGAAGCAGGCCUGCCUCGUUUGUGGGUGGGUUGACGGUAGCUGGAGAAGAAGCGCCGGCUAACUACGUG
RNAcentral lists this ribosomal RNA (494 nucleotides) under uncultured bacterium. RNAcentral describes it as "partial 16S ribosomal RNA". It matches the Rfam family "Bacterial small subunit ribosomal RNA", at positions 28 to 507 of the family's 1533-position model. The record is from RNAcentral.